Non-coding RNA from Pelobates cultripes (western spadefoot toad), 93 nucleotides. NCBI's taxonomy places the organism in Eukaryota, Metazoa, Chordata, Amphibia, Anura, Pelobatidae. The record is from the annotation of a GenBank genome assembly.
AAAACAAAGAGAACGUUACCUGCGCUCUGGCCUAAACAUUUAAAUGUACAUGGGGAUUUAGGCCAGAGCGCAGGUAACGUUCUCUUUGUUUUU